AGAGUUUGAUCCUGGCUCAGGAUGAACGCUAGCUACAGGCUUAACACAUGCAAGUCGAGGGGAAACGAUAUUGGAAGCUUGCUUCCGAUAGGCGUCGACCGGCGCACGGGUGAGUAACGCGUAUCCAACCUGCCCACCACUUGGGGAUAACCUUGCGAAAGUAAGACUAAUACCCAAUGAUAUCUCUAGAAGACAUCUGAAAGAGAUUAAAGAUUUAUCGGUGAUGGAUGGGGAUGCGUCUGAUUAGCUUGUUGGCGGGGUAACGGCCCACCAAGGCAACGAUCAGUAGGGGUUCUGAGAGGAAGGUCCCCCACAUUGGAACUGAGACACGGUCCAAACUCCUACGGGAGGCAGCAGUGAGGAAUAUUGGUCAAUGGACGAGAGUCUGAACCAGCCAAGUAGCGUGCAGGAAGACGGCCCUAUGGGUUGUAAACUGCUUUUAUAAGGGAAUAAAGUGAGAGUCGUGACUCUUUUUGCAUGUACCUUAUGAAUAAGGACCGGCUAAUUCCGUGCCAGCAGCCGCGGUAAUACGGAAGGUCCGGGCGUUAUCCGGAUUUAUUGGGUUUAAAGGGAGCGUAGGCCGGAGAUUAAGCGUGUUGUGAAAUGUAGACGCUCAACGUCUGCACUGCAGCGCGAACUGGUUUCCUUGAGUACGCACAAAGUGGGCGGAAUUCGUGGUGUAGCGGUGAAAUGCUUAGAUAUCACGAAGAACUCCGAUUGCGAAGGCAGCUCACUGGAGCGCAACUGACGCUGAAGCUCGAAAGUGCGGGUAUCGAACAGGAUUAGAUACCCUGGUAGUCCGCACGGUAAACGAUGGAUGCCCGCUGUUGGUCUGAAUAGGUCAGCGGCCAAGCGAAAGCAUUAAGCAUCCCACCUGGGGAGUACGCCGGCAACGGUGAAACUCAAAGGAAUUGACGGGGGCCCGCACAAGCGGAGGAACAUGUGGUUUAAUUCGAUGAUACGGGAGGAACCUUACCCGGGCUUGAAUUGCGGAGGAAGGAUUUGGAGACAAUGACGCCCUUCGGGGCCUCUGUGAAGGUGCUGCAUGGUUGUCGUCAGCUCGUGCCGUGAGGUGUCGGCUUAAGUGCCAUAACGAGCGCAACCCCUCUCCUUAGUUGCCAUCAGGUUAAGCUGGGCGCUCUGGGGACACUGCCACCGUAAGGUGUGAGGAAGGUGGGGAUGACGUCAAAUCAGCACGGCCCUUACGUCCGGGGCUACACACGUGUUACAAUGGCGGGUACAGAGAGAC
Molecule: ribosomal RNA, 1249 nt
Filed under: metagenome
Description: bacterial SSU rRNA
Rfam family: Bacterial small subunit ribosomal RNA
Source: RNAcentral